RNAcentral lists this unclassified non-coding RNA (485 nucleotides) under Stylophora sp. D RA-2016. RNAcentral's name for it is "sequence contains 18S rRNA gene, ITS1, 5.8S rRNA gene". The stretch from base 386 to 485 matches the Rfam family "5.8S ribosomal RNA", at positions 1 to 100 of the family's 154-position model. The record is from RNAcentral. Lineage: Eukaryota; Metazoa; Cnidaria; Anthozoa; Scleractinia; Pocilloporidae.
ACUCUGCCUCGUGCAGAGAGUGGGAGGCCGGGAAGUUGUUCAAACUUGAUCAUUUAGAGGAAGUAAAAGUCGUAACAAGGUUUCCGUAGGUGAACCUGCGGAAGGAUCAUUACCGAGUAGCUAGCUACCUACCUCCACUGGCCGCGAGUCAGUGAAUGAGUGGGGUGUUUACUACCGUGUGAACCGACUGAAAAAUUUUUUAGGGGUCGGCUCGUUCCGUUAAAAGGGGAGCACCGUGAUGAGCCACCGGCUGGCUGGCUGGCUGGCUGGUGAGCCUCGCGGUGGGCUCCUGCCCCGACAGUGUUUUUUAAAAGGACACAUUUGAUGUAAAAGACUGAGCGCAGUGAGAGAGAUAUGUUCUAACAUAGAAAAAUAAAAGUGUGACAACUUUUGACGGUGGAUCUCUAGGCUCACGCAUCGAUGAAGAACGCAGCCAGCUGCGAUAAGUAGUGUGAAUUGCAGAAUUCAGUGAAUCAUCGAAUCUU